Long non-coding RNA from Mustela erminea (ermine), 559 nucleotides. RefSeq lists it as uncharacterized. The transcript has 4 exons. The record is from RefSeq and is a predicted model, not a curated record. Lineage: Eukaryota; Metazoa; Chordata; Mammalia; Carnivora; Mustelidae.
UGGGGGGGCAGGAAGGGUCAAUUCAGCAGUCACAGCUUCCUGGCUGAGGAGCCACCUGUUCUGUCUGAGGAUCUCAUGGCAGGAAGGAGAUCAGACCUUUCAUGAAGCACAAGGAUACUGCGGGGGGCCUCAGAGGCACUGAUGGAGAGGCUAUUUCAUAAACCAGUGCUGCAGGCUCUGGCUAUUGUCCAGCCUUCAUGGAGUGAUGGGAACAGCAUGAAUAUUGAAUCAGAACUGGACUGGAUGCCCUCCUCCAGCUCUGACUAGCUGUGUGACUUUGGAUUAGGAACCUGAGGCCAGAGAGCUCAAGGAAGCAGCUGAAGGUCACCCAGUAUUUGGCAAAGCCGGGAUUCCAGGAUCGGCGACCCCUUCUGGUCCUCGGGCUAGAGAUCGUUUACAGGAAGGGAUGGGGAAUGAACACAUCACCAAGGCCAGAGACUUCACCUUGCAAAUGAGAAGAGAAGCAAUUCCUAAUGCGACAGAAAGACAGUCUUGUGAGGCAAUCACUUCAGAGACAUCCUUGUAGAAUAAACACCACUAAAUAAAGAGCCCAGCCGCC